Molecule: ribosomal RNA, 253 nt
Filed under: uncultured bacterium
Lineage: Bacteria
Description: partial 16S ribosomal RNA
Rfam family: Bacterial small subunit ribosomal RNA
Source: RNAcentral
UACAGAGGGGGCAAGCGUUGUUCGGAAUUACUGGGCGUAAAGGGCGCGUAGGUGGCCUUCUAAGUUGAACGUGAAAUCCCUGGGCUCAACCCAGGAACUGCGUCCAAGACUGGGAGGCUUGAAUCCGGGAGAGGGAUGCGGAAUUCCAGGUGUAGCGGUGAAAUGCGUAGAUAUCUGGAGGAACACCGGUGGCGAAGGCGGCAUCCUGGACCGGUAUUGACACUGAGGCGCGAAAGCGUGGGGAGCGAACAGG